CCCUCUCCCUCUCCCUCUUCCUCCUUCUCUCUCAAGAUUUCCUUGCUGCUAAGUCUGCGCUGCUGCAGGAGGGCUGGGGGAAGGGCAGGGGUGCGGAGUCGGGGUGUCUUCUUUCUCUCUCUCUCUCUCUGCCCCCCUUCCCAUCAAGUGCGGACGCAAUGGGAGCUCCGGCCCGCCCCCACCCCUGCAUUUGCGAUUGGCUCCGGCAGGAGGUGGCUACCGCUGCCGCUGCUGCAGCAUCUCCCUGGGAGCCGCGACCCUGCGCCCGCCACCACCGCUGCCGCUGUCACCAGCCCAGCCCGAGGGGCGCCCAGGGCUCCCUGGAGCUGGGACUGCCCUGCAGCCCCACACCAGGUCCAAGACCAGCUGGACCCUCUGUGUCUGCACCCACCGGCUCUUCUGCAGUGGCUAUCUUCAGCUCUUUCUGUAGGUAGCUGCCUGCAGGGACACCUGUUCCGGGGUUCCAGCACUUUACCUGCAGGCUCACCUAGGGUGAGCCCCCAAGCAUGUGAGUGUCUUCUUCCUCCUUUCCUUCCUCCUCUCCUCACUCCCCCACCCCAGACCAUUGCUUUCUCCUUCUACUUUUUUCUCUCAGUCUGAGAAUGGCUUCCCUUUCACUACUAAGGAUCUGACCUGGAAGUCCUGCCCAUCUUUCUGAUUUUCAGAUUCCUUUCUACCUCACUCUGGGUAUUGAAGUUGGUAGGGCAGAAGGGAGCCUCCACUUCUUCCAGAGAGAUCUCAAAAUUCAAGAGGAGAGACAAAAUACAACUAAGUUUCCCAAG
Molecule: long non-coding RNA, 782 nt
Organism: Mastomys coucha (southern multimammate mouse)
Lineage: Eukaryota; Metazoa; Chordata; Mammalia; Rodentia; Muridae
Exons: 2
Source: RefSeq, a predicted model, not a curated record